UAAGGAAUAUUGGACAAUGGUCGCAAGACUGAUCCAGCCAUGCCGCGUGCAGGAAGACGGCCCUAUGGGUUGUAAACUGCUUUUGUACCAGAGAAAACCUAUCUACGUGUAGAUAGCUGAUAGUAUGGUAAGAAUAAGCAUCGGCUAACUUCGUGCCAGCAGCCGCGGUAAGACGAAGGAUGCAAGCGUUAUCCGGAUUCAUUGGGUUUAAAGGGUGCGUAGGCGGGCUUGUAAGUCAGUGGUGAAAUCUCUCAGCUUAACUGAGAAACUGCCAUUGAUACUGCAGGCCUAGAGUAUAGAUGACGUUGGCGGAAUAUGACAUGUAGUGGUGAAAUACUUAGAUAUGUCAUAGAACACCGAUUGCGAAGGCAGCUAACGAAACUAUAACUGACGCUGAGGCACGAAGGUGCGGGGAUCAAACA
RNAcentral lists this ribosomal RNA (422 nucleotides) under uncultured bacterium. RNAcentral's name for it is "bacterial SSU rRNA". It matches the Rfam family "Bacterial small subunit ribosomal RNA", at positions 355 to 774 of the family's 1533-position model. The record is from RNAcentral.